Sparus aurata (gilthead seabream) is the source of this 2835-nucleotide long non-coding RNA. The record is from Ensembl. Lineage: Eukaryota; Metazoa; Chordata; Actinopteri; Spariformes; Sparidae.
AGUCCACAGGACAUCGACCACAUGUACAGUAAGAGGCCUUACAGCUUUCCACCCAGAGAGCAUGUUAAUGUGAGUGAAGAUUAACCCAAGAGAACAACAUAUCCAGUGUUUACAGCUGUGCACUAAGCCAUGACUUUGUGUGUCUUGAUUAAGGACUAUAAUGACAGCAUGGACUAACAUGAUGUGGUCACCACAACCAGAGACGUUGGGAUCCUGAGUGAAGACGCAUCUUUCGACAGGCUUGUGGUGAGGACAUGCAAAGGAUCAACAAACAACAAAUCUUAUUUGAUAUACUUAACCAGAAUAAUUACGUUUAACAUCUGAAUGCUGUUUGAUCAAAUUUUAGGAAAGGGCUCAGCAAGCUGAACACCAUAGAAAAGUCACUAGUGACCUUCAUGUAAUGUUCAUCACUCAGGAUAACGGUCUACUGCAACAUCUUGAAGCGGUCAUCGCAUGAAAAGUUACAUCCUCAUGGGCAACAUCAAAGGGCAGGGUGAUCAUUUUCUUUGAGGAGGAUGAGCAGCUGGACAGAGUGCUGGGCUUCUUGACAAGCCUGGUUAAAGCACAGACAACCAGGUGUCACAAUCACGUGGCAUUUGUUAUGGAUGUGCUUCUGCCAGAGGCAACAGUCCACGCCCUUUCAGCUGUCCAUGCAUUUUCCAUUGACAGAGCGACAGAAGUUUAUAAAUGUGGACUGCAGUAUGACUUGAGUGGAAAACGGCUGUUGGCUCAUUACAUGACAAACAACAUGGCUCUACAGCAACUAGAAAAAUAUGCUGAAAAACUCAGAAGAGCUCUGGACUCUGAGGAGUUUUUGAAGACGCUUUAGUAUGUAUGUAGGAUGAAUUAAAAAAUAGUCUGUGAAAUGAUAAUGUUUUAUUUUAUUGCCAAUAAAAGUUGUUGCUGGCUAAUUCAUUUGUCUCAACUUUUGUGUUUUGAGGUACAUAUUUUAAAGAGCUGUGUAUGGUCAUAUUUAUAAAUACAUAAAUACAUUUUAUUUGUGUCAAAGGGCGAGCAAUCUUUUCUGUUAACCCAUAAGAAAUCAUCACCUUAGAGUGAUAAUUAUGGCAUCUGAUGUAGUAGGCCAAGCUCUGUGACAGUGUGGCUCUUAGAAAAACAGCUGGUGGAAACAACCUAUUUUAAUUGAAAUGACUACUACUAAUUAUUAUUAUUAUUGUAAAAUAUUUUAUUUUAUUUAGUUUAAAAUAACCUUGUGCACAUACAUUAGUCACUUAUAUAAAAAAUGAAAAGAUGCAUGCAACAGAUUUAGCAGUCCUAUAUAAUCUUUUAUCCCAAUCUUUUAUUUUUUUUAUUACUUAACUUUCUAUUUUUGUAUAUAUUUAUUGUUUCAAGCACAUUGUUUGCAUUGAAAAGCAUUUAAUGUUGUGAAUCAACCGUUAAAGUUGUUAAAAAUGAUCUGGUUAUUGCUUCGUUUCCUUUGUGUUUGCUUUCUAAGUGCUCUGGGCCUCCACAGCCACCGUAGUGUUGUAUGGGCGUGUUUUGUAAUGGGCGUGGUUUUUAGCGGCUCUGGCUUAGCUGCGGCUGCAGCUAGACCCUUCUCCGGACUUUGCUAACAAGCUAGCGACGAGCAAACUUGAUGCGUAGAGCAGGUGUGGAGCUGUGAGACCGAAGACAGACACAGAGACCCAGACGGAGCCGGACAGCGUUGCCGAGUGGUGGACUUUGUCGAUAUCGUCAGCGGUGGGAGUCUUCUCUUCAUCGCUCCUCCUGCUUCUGGCUGCCUGGAUCCUGAGCGCGGGAGGCUAACGCAAUUUAGUGACGGUACCAGUGUUUGUUUUUUUGCCUUCGUGGUGAAGCAGCCAUUUCCUUUAAGGCUACAACGUACAAGAGAUACCUUCAGGCCUGCAACGUUGAACUGGGUAUUUUCAUUUAAACUAUUUUAUUUUCUUUGGGCCCAUGUGUUUUGAAUGUGUCUGUGAAUGCACUAUUGUGAGUUGUCAAGCAUUUGAUAAGAGCAUUGAAACAAAUAUUUAACCAGUGAGUUCAUAUUUUUUCAAAGUAAAUAACUCAUACUUUUUCAUAAAACAGGUGUGGUUAUUUAAUACUUUUGAUAUUUUAAGUUAAGACAGAGUGAUAUGUGUUUGUGAUAGACCAGUGAUGUUGAUAGGUUUUCAAUGUAGUGAGUCCCCGGGACCCACAGGUGGUGAGUUGAGUGGGUCCCUGGGAAAUCCAAUGGGUCCCGACUCCCCAGUUAAAAAAAUGUAUUUCUUUCUUAUGUUAUUCUAUUUCUUAAAUUUUAUUGAGUGUUAAACUCCUUUGAAGGUGGUAUGAUAUGGUUAUAAUAAACGGAUAUAUUCAUGUAUGUUCAAAAUGUAUCUGAAAUUAAACAAAUAAAAUUCCAAAUCAUUUUUUGUAGCAACAUAGGCUAAAUAGCACCAAAAAAAAUUACUAAAAUUCAAAUAGUCUGCUGACCUGCAAUAGGUUUUAUCUUUUUCUUUGGUGGCAUUUUUGCGUUCUCCUUUUCCUGCUUACUCGAGAAAAAACGGGAUCUCGUUGGAAGCGCCAUGUAUGCGCAGACGCCGUUUGGGCAUAACAAAAUGGCGGCUGCCAUUCAAUGUAGUUUUCAUCACCACCACCGGGUUUUGUUUUAUUUUAUUUAUUGAAAUUGGAAAAAUUCUUCUUCUUAUUAGGGCCCGAGCAGGUCAUCGACCUGUGAGGUCCCUAUUGAAAUUGUAAAAAUUAUUAGGGCCCGAGCAGGUCAUCGACCUGUGAGGUCCCUAUUGAAAUUGGAAGAAUUAUUCUUCUUAUUAGGGCCCGAGCAGGUAGACCUUCGAGGUCCCUAUUGUAAUUGGAAGGAAAUACAUUUUCUUCUCC